CCUACGGGAGGCAGCAGUGAGGAAUAUUGGUCAAUGGGCGCGAGCCUGAACCAGCCAAGUCGCGUGAGGGAUGACGGUCCUACGGAUUGUAAACCUCUUUUGCCGGGGAGCAAGCGUGCGUUCGUGAACGCGCGUCGAGAGUACCCGGAGAACAAGCAUCGGCUAACACCGUGCCAGCAGCCGCGGUAAUACGGGGGACGCGAGGGGUAUCCGGCUUUAUUGGGUUUAAAGGUGUCGUAGGCGGGAUGCCAAGUCAGCGGUAAAAAUGCGGUGCUCAACGCCGUAGAGCCGUUGAAACUGGCGUGCUGGAGUGGGCGAGAGGUAUGCGGAAUGCGUGGUGUAGCGGUGAAAUGCAUAGAUAUCACGCAGAACUCCAGUUGCGAAGGCAGCAUACCGGCGCCCUACUGACGCUGAGGCACGAAAGCGUGGGUAUCGAACAGGAUUAGAUACCCUUGUAGUC
Molecule: ribosomal RNA, 460 nt
Filed under: uncultured bacterium
Lineage: Bacteria
Description: partial 16S ribosomal RNA
Rfam family: Bacterial small subunit ribosomal RNA
Source: RNAcentral